RNAcentral lists this ribosomal RNA (253 nucleotides) under uncultured bacterium. RNAcentral describes it as "partial 16S ribosomal RNA". It matches the Rfam family "Bacterial small subunit ribosomal RNA", at positions 524 to 776 of the family's 1533-position model. The record is from RNAcentral.
UACGUAGGGGGCAAGCGUUGUUCGGAAUCACUGGGCGUAAAGCGCACGCAGGCGGAUCGAUAAGUCGGGGGUGAAAGCCCGGGGCUCAACCUCGGAAUUGCCUUCGAUACUGUCGGUCUCGAGUCCAGGAGAGGUGAGUGGAAUUCCUAGUGUAGAGGUGAAAUUCGUAGAUAUUAGGAAGAACACCAGUGGCGAAGGCGGCUCACUGGCCCGGUACUGACGCUCAGGUGCGAAAGCGUGGGGAGCAAACAGG